RNAcentral lists this ribosomal RNA (429 nucleotides) under uncultured bacterium. RNAcentral describes it as "bacterial SSU rRNA". It matches the Rfam family "Bacterial small subunit ribosomal RNA", at positions 355 to 775 of the family's 1533-position model. The record is from RNAcentral.
UGGGGAAUAUUGGACAAUGGGCGAAAGCCUGAUCCAGCGACGCCGCGUGGGUGAUGAAGGCCUUCGGGUUGUAAAGCCCUGUGGGCAGGGAAGAAAACGUUGCAGGCGAAUAGGCUGCGACCUUGACGGUACCUGCUCAGAAAGCACCGGCUAACUCUGUGCCAGCAGCCGCGGUAAGACAGAGGGUGCAAACGUUGCUCGGAAUUACUGGGCGUAAAGCGCGUGUAGGCGGAUCGGAAAGUCGGGCGUGAAAUCCCCAGGCUCAACCUGGGAACUGCACUCGAAACUUCCGGUCUUGAGUGGUGGAGAGGGAAGUGGAAUUCCUGGUGUAGAGGUGAAAUUCGUAGAUAUCAGGAGGAACACCAGUGGCGAAGGCGGCUUCCUGGACACCAACUGACGCUGAGACGCGAAAGCGUGGGGAGCAAACAG